CCCCAGUCUCUACUUGUUCAGUCCACUUUCCAUACCGAAGUCAUUCUGAUGGGGUUUUAGUGAUUUCUCAUUGGCUCAGGCUGGCCUUUCAGACUUUCCAUCUCCUGGUUCCCAAUGUCAGGUGUGCAUGUGCUUAGGAGAGCCUUGGCUCUCAUUCUCCGCUCCAACAAUGUGUAGCUACCUGGAGCUUUCCCCCUCCUGCUUGGGCUGUCUUUUCUCCUCUCCUGUAUUAUUUUUUGGGACAAAAAUACCCAGGCAAGAGAUAUUGGAGAUGUGAACUAGGGUGGUGACAUGGAUGUGGUAAGAAUUGAUGAGAUUCUGGAAAAAAGAGGAGGGGAUAAGUUCAAGUUACACACGAACUUAUUUACAAACUAGAAGUAGAGUCACAGAUGUAAAAAACAAACUUAUGGUUACUAGGGAAUGGGGGGAGGGUAAAUAGGGAGAUCGGGACUGACAUAUACACUCUGUGCUAAGUUGCUUCGGUCAUGUCAGACUCUUGUGACCCAUGGACUCUAUCCCACCAGGCUUCUCUGUUCAUGGGAUUUUCCGGGCAAGAAUACUGGAGUGGCUUGCCAUUUCCUUCUCCAAGGGAUCUUUCUGGCCCAGGGAUGGAACCUGCAUCUCUUAUGUCUCUUGCAUUGGCAGGCAGGUUCUUUAUCACUAGCACCAUAAAAUAGAUAACUAAUAAGAACUUUCUAUAUUGCACAGGGAACUCUACCCAACACUCUAUAAUGACCUAUAUGGGAAAAAAUCUUUUUUUUUUAAAACAAGUGGAUAUAUGUAAAAAAAAAAAGAAAAUAAAUUGAUGAGAUUCUGGGCAUAUUUUGAAGGGAAAUACAAUAGGACUUGUUGGAUUUGAAAAUGUGGGAAGAUAAAGGAGUCAAGGAUAACUUUCCAGUUUUGUUAUUUGUUUAUUUAUUUUUGCCUGAGUAGCUAGAAAAACUGAAUUCCGCUAACAGAUUGGGGGGAGACUGGGAAUAACGGGUUUGGAUGGGAAGAGAAGGAGUUCAGUUUUGGAUACAUCACUGGAAAUGGCUAUUAGAAAUCCAGUUAGGUAUAUGAAUCUGGUUCAGGGGACUGAUCUGAGUUGGAGCUGUAAAUUUAUGAGUCAUCAGUGGAAAGGCGAAACUUAAAGCCACAAGACUGAAUGAGAGCACUGAGGGUAUAGGUUUCAUAAAAAGUCGAAGAGGCCUAGGAGCCUUCAGCAUUAAAAGUUUGCGGAGAUGAGCCUCAGGAGAGAAAAAUCAGGAGGAAAAACAGGAAAAUGUAGCACCCCGAAAGCCUAGUGGCAAAAGGAUUUGCUGGAGGAGGAAGUGGUCAAUUGUGUCAAAGGUUAAGUAAGCUGAGGGCUGAGAAUUGACCAUGAGAUUUAAUAACAGGAAGGUCAAUGAUGAUGCAGACAAGAACAGUUCAGGAAAUGAUGUGGCAAAAGCUUGUGGGAUUACAUCUAAGAGAAAAAAGAGAGAGGGGUUGGAGUUAGACAAGUUGUUAAAAUUUUUUUUGCUGUAGAAAGGGUACAGUAAAGUGGAUGUCUGCUAGAGGCUUAAUUAAGAUCAUGAGAGUGUUUUUGUUUAUUUGUUUUUAAAUAUGGGAUAAAUAACAGCAGAUAGAUUAUUUCUGUAUAUUUAUGGGAUUGAUCCAGCAGAGAGGAAAUACUGAUGAAACAAGAGGGAAGAAAUAUUAGAAGAACAAAACUCUCAAGAGAUUGAGAGACUAAAGGACCUACUCCCUGAACAGGGAGGUUGGCUUUAGACAGAAACUCUUCUAUUUUCACGGCUUCCUCUCUCCCUUUACUCUGCUCCAGUGUCUGCUCUUUGAGAAAUCUUUCCUGUCC
Molecule: long non-coding RNA, 1834 nt
Organism: Bos taurus (domestic cattle)
Lineage: Eukaryota; Metazoa; Chordata; Mammalia; Artiodactyla; Bovidae
Source: Ensembl